GAUGAAGAACGCAGCGAAAUGCGAUAAGUAAUGCGAAUUGCAGAAUUUCCGUGAGUCAUCGAAUCUUAGAACGCACAUUGCGCCCACUGGUAUUCCGGUGGGCAUGCCUGUUCGAGCGUCAUUAUCCUCCCUCAAACCCUCGUGUUUGGUGUUGGGCCGCGUUGGUGUCAAAGCCAACUGGUCUCAAAGACAAUGACGGCGUCCGUGGGACCCUCUUCGCAACGAGCAUCUUCGGAAGCACGCGUCGAGUCUAAAGGACCUUCCGGGCCGGUCUACCCUUUAUCUUUCUAAGGUUGACCUCGGAUCAGGUAGGAAUACCCGCUGAACUUAAGCAUAUCAAUAAGCGGAGGA
Molecule: unclassified non-coding RNA, 351 nt
Filed under: soil metagenome
Description: partial contains 5.8S ribosomal RNA, internal transcribed spacer 2, and large subunit ribosomal RNA
Rfam family: 5.8S ribosomal RNA (bases 1-121)
Source: RNAcentral